UUAAAGCUUCAUCCCUAUUUCUACUUCUGCCUGUGCUUGCAGACGCCUGCACAAACCCCUUAAAAUCCUUACGACCUCAGCCUUGCACCAAAGCAGAAGCAAUCUGUGUGCUUCCAGCACGUUGUAUAUCACUGUUUGGGGGCAUCUGAAGAUGUGGGUGACAUGAGAAUCUGGUCAGGGCAAACCUGUCUCUCUGCAAUGUCUCUUCCUGGCGUGGGAUGUGACUAGACAUGAAAUGUGACGUCGCUGAUGAGAGCUACAUCCUCGGAGAACAUGCACAACCUUAACAUGAGGAGCACCAGAGCACGAGAAGAAAUGCUACAUGACAAAGAUGACAUAAAAAUCACCAUGACCUUUUGGAGAAUGCCACUGGCCACCGCCGCUCACUCGAAUGCUUUAAAUGCCUACUUGUGAGGUCUGGUCAGCAUGGGGCGGCAGAAGAAAGAAUUCCAGCCAGCCGAACACAGCACGACAGAGGAAUAGCCUCAACUAGGACCACUGAAAACUAACCAAACGGAACACCUCUCAGAAACUCUCCCACCUCAUCACAAUUGAACAGGAAAGCCAAUACUACAGCCAACAAGGUCCAUGGAGAGAUCCCGUUGCAGGUUAUUGACAUUGAACCAACAGAAAAGUGAAUGGUUACCCUGGGGCAGAAGCUGGAAGUGCCCGGAGCAAGAAAACCAGAAAGUUCUUAGAAAAUAACCUGUCGACUCAAUUCUAGAGAAAUGGGAUGCUCAGCAGUCUCCUACAGUCUCUGGACAGAAUUUUGUAUAAGAUGCACGUUGAGAUGGAAAUCUGUAAACGGAGAUGAUGGAAAUGGAGCCACAUAGUCAAGGCAAGGACUGUCACCGGAUAGCGGGGUGGUGGGUAGAUCCUGAAAGGAAGCCUUUCUCAGAUAAAGGAACCAUAUUGUGACUUGUCUGUCAGGGUAUUUGUGGGUGUGUGGAAACAAAACCAGCCCUGGUAACUCAAAGAAGAUUGAGAACAAGAAUCAAUCUUGGUACUUUCUACAUGCCAGAUGCUUCUCAUUUAAUCCUAAAACUCGUUUAGGAAGGAGGUGUGCUUCUUCCUUCAUAUAGGAGCACAGGCUCAGCCAGCUGCUGAGUAGAAAACGUAGAUUUUUGGACUCUGGUUU
Molecule: long non-coding RNA, 1138 nt
Organism: Peromyscus californicus insignis
Lineage: Eukaryota; Metazoa; Chordata; Mammalia; Rodentia; Cricetidae
Exons: 4
Source: RefSeq, a predicted model, not a curated record